This 233-nucleotide long non-coding RNA is filed under the name Populus trichocarpa (black cottonwood). RNAcentral describes it as "long non-coding RNA (PTRI_LNC000684)". Lineage: Eukaryota; Viridiplantae; Streptophyta; Magnoliopsida; Malpighiales; Salicaceae. The record is from RNAcentral.
CAAGAUUCUCACCAUCUUCUCUUCAUUGCACCAAGCAAGAGAUGCUAGAAAGUGUUGUCACGCUUGGGACCUUCCCUGUUGGAGCGCUGGCAAACUUUUGUCACGCGUUGUGGUUUCCGUUAACCUGAGGGGAAGAAUCUUGGCAAAAUGACAGGAAAGAUGGGCCUUUCUGUGUAAAAGCCAGACGAAGUGGAUUGGACAUAAGCAGCAGCUAGCAGGUGCACGUGUCUCCC